GAAGCUUUUAAUCACUCAGCCAUAUAAAAUAAACUAAGACAAGUAUAUAUAAGAAAAAUGCUUGACACACUUAUCGGUGGGCACGGGCACGGGUUCGGCCAUAAGGAUCACAUAAGCAGUGUAGGGAUCUCAUAGUUUCCAACCAUAAUGGGGAGGUCCUCCAAGAUACCCACAGGGUACUUCACUAAACGAUCAGCCAAUAUCAGAGACAGUCUACACUUCUUGUACUGGGUGAAACCAAGCUUCUCAGCAACAGAUAAAGGCAUCAAGCUGACACUAGCUCCCA
Molecule: long non-coding RNA, 286 nt
Filed under: Brassica napus (rape)
Lineage: Eukaryota; Viridiplantae; Streptophyta; Magnoliopsida; Brassicales; Brassicaceae
Description: long non-coding RNA (BNAP_LNC019024)
Source: RNAcentral